GGUAAGAUGGCCGAGUUUUAGGCGGUGGAUUGUAGACCCAUAAACAGAGGUUUGAGUCCUCUUCUUAUCA
This 70-nucleotide transfer RNA is filed under the name Genicanthus melanospilos (spotbreast angelfish). RNAcentral's name for it is "tRNA-Tyr". It matches the Rfam family "tRNA". From Rfam's summary of the family: Transfer RNA (tRNA) molecules are approximately 80 nucleotides in length. Their secondary structure includes four short double-helical elements and three loops (D, anti-codon, and T loops). The record is from RNAcentral. Lineage: Eukaryota; Metazoa; Chordata; Actinopteri; Pomacanthidae.